UCAGAGGUUUUGAGAGGCAUGUGAAACCAGAAAAGACACCAGUGUUCUGGCUACUUGUCACUACCAAACCCCAUAAGCAAUGACAGGGAUUGAAUCUUUAUGGGUGCUUUAUUCAGAUGUCUGGCAAUCUGAGAGGAUGGUGGGUUCACACCCAAAAAAACCAUCUUGUCUUUUUUUCCAGGCCAAGGUUUUUAUAGUAGGGAAUAAACAAGGUGUGGGAAGGGCUUUUAA
Molecule: long non-coding RNA, 231 nt
Organism: Phyllostomus discolor (pale spear-nosed bat)
Lineage: Eukaryota; Metazoa; Chordata; Mammalia; Chiroptera; Phyllostomidae
Exons: 3
Source: RefSeq, a predicted model, not a curated record